AGACCCGAAACCCGGUGAUCUAGCCAUGGGCAGGUUGAAGGUUGGGUAACACUAACUGGAGGACCGAACCGACUAAUGUUGAAAAAUUAGCGGAUGACCUGUGGCUGGGGGUGAAAGGCCAAUCAAACCGGGAGAUAGCUGGUUCUCCCCGAAAGCUAUUUAGGUAGCGCCUCGUGAAUUCAUCUCCGGGGGUAGAGCACUGUUUCGGCUAGGGGGCCAUCCCGGCUUACCAACCCGAUGCAAACUGCGAAUACCGGAGAAUGUUAUCACGGGAGACACACGGCGGGUGCUAACGUCCGUCGUGAAGAGGGAAACAACCCAGACCGCCAGCUAAGGUCCCAAAGUCAUGGUUAAGUGGGAAACGAUGUGGGAAGGCCCAGACAGCCAGGAUGUUGGCUUAGAAGCAGCCAUCAUUUAAAGAAAGCGUAAUAGCUCACUGGUCGAGUCGGCCUGCGCGGAAGAUGUAACGGGGCUAAACCAUGCACCGAAGCUGCGGCAGCGAACGUAUCACUUAAAGCGAUUCAGCGGAUGACGAUUGACGGAGCGAAGCGACGUCAAAGCGUAUACAAAGUCGAGUCGGUUUAAGGAUACGUUCGUUGGGUAGGGGAGCGUUCUGUAAGCCUGUGAAGGUGGCCUGUGAGGGUUGCUGGAGGUAUCAGAAGUGCGAAUGCUGACAUAAGUAACGAUAAAGCG
This 693-nucleotide ribosomal RNA is filed under the name Salmonella enterica. RNAcentral's name for it is "partial 23S ribosomal RNA". It matches the Rfam family "Bacterial large subunit ribosomal RNA", at positions 711 to 1319 of the family's 2925-position model. Lineage: Bacteria; Pseudomonadati; Pseudomonadota; Gammaproteobacteria; Enterobacterales; Enterobacteriaceae. The record is from RNAcentral.